CUCCGUAGGGUGAACCUGCGGAAGGAUCAUUG
This 32-nucleotide ribosomal RNA is filed under the name Rinorea gabunensis. RNAcentral's name for it is "partial 18S ribosomal RNA". The record is from RNAcentral. Lineage: Eukaryota; Viridiplantae; Streptophyta; Magnoliopsida; Malpighiales; Violaceae.